AGGGAAGCCAAAAAGGCGGUAAAAAGUGGGGAGGUAGUAGAGGUGGGUUUGGGAUCAAAGAUAUUGUUCGAGGAGGAAGAGGAUGUGAUAGAAGAGGAGCGGAUGGAAAGGGAGAGGGAAGAGAAGGACAGAGAGAAAGAAUAUGUGGUACAUGUACCAUUACCAGACGAGAAAGAGAUCGAGAGGAUGGUGGUGGAACAUAAGAAGAUGGAGCUUCUAAGCAAAUAUGCUAGUGAAGAUUUAAUGGAAGAGCAAAUGGAAGCUAAAGCCAUGCUCAACAUUCAAAGGUAAGUAACGAAAGAGCUUAUGUUUCUACUCGAUGUAGAGAGGAGUUGUUGGCUUUUCUUCGAAAAUGUUGCAUUAAUCCAACUGUGUUUAGCGAUGUUGCACAACAAUGUGAUGAAGGAAGUGCAUAGAACGCAGUUUUAACCAUUUGAGAAUCCUCUAAUCGUUGUAUCGUUAUUUUGGGCAUAUGACGUUGCCUUUGACAUGUCAUUAGUUCAACACUUGGGGGCGUUUUUCCAAGUCUAUAUUCAUCGUAGAAUAA
Molecule: unclassified non-coding RNA, 547 nt
Filed under: Hevea brasiliensis (rubber tree)
Lineage: Eukaryota; Viridiplantae; Streptophyta; Magnoliopsida; Malpighiales; Euphorbiaceae
Source: RNAcentral